Molecule: ribosomal RNA, 592 nt
Filed under: Candida tropicalis
Lineage: Eukaryota; Fungi; Ascomycota; Pichiomycetes; Serinales; Debaryomycetaceae
Description: eukaryotic LSU rRNA
Rfam family: Eukaryotic large subunit ribosomal RNA
Source: RNAcentral
AGCGGAGGAAAAGAAACCAACAGGGAUUGCCUUAGUAGCGGCGAGUGAAGCGGCAAAAGCUCAAAUUUGAAAUCUGGCUCUUUCAGAGUCCGAGUUGUAAUUUGAAGAAGGUAUCUUUGGGUCUGGCUCUUGUCUAUGUUUCUUGGAACAGAACGUCACAGAGGGUGAGAAUCCCGUGCGAUGAGAUGAUCCAGGCCUAUGUAAAGUUCCUUCGAAGAGUCGAGUUGUUUGGGAAUGCAGCUCUAAGUGGGUGGUAAAUUCCAUCUAAAGCUAAAUAUUGGCGAGAGACCGAUAGCGAACAAGUACAGUGAUGGAAAGAUGAAAAGAACUUUGAAAAGAGAGUGAAAAAGUACGUGAAAUUGUUGAAAGGGAAGGGCUUGAGAUCAGACUUGGUAUUUUGUAUGUUACUUCUUCGGGGGUGGCCUCUACAGUUUAUCGGGCCAGCAUCAGUUUGGGCGGUAGGAGAAUUGCGUUGGAAUGUGGCACGGCUUCGGUUGUGUGUUAUAGCCUUCGUCGAUACUGCCAGCCUAGACUGAGGACUGCGGUUUAUACCUAGGAUGUUGGCAUAAUGAUCUUAAGUCGCCCGUCUUGA